This 253-nucleotide ribosomal RNA is filed under the name uncultured bacterium. RNAcentral describes it as "partial 16S ribosomal RNA". It matches the Rfam family "Bacterial small subunit ribosomal RNA", at positions 524 to 776 of the family's 1533-position model. The record is from RNAcentral.
UACGGGGGGGGCAAGCGUUGUUCGGAAUUACUGGGCGUAAAGGGCGCGUAGGCGGCCUGCUAAGUCGGAUGUGAAAUCCCUCGGCUCAACCGAGGAACUGCAUCCGAUACUGGCGGGCUUGAAUCCGGGAGAGGGAUGUGGAAUUCCAGGUGUAGCGGUGAAAUGCGUAGAUAUCUGGAGGAAUACCGGUGGCGAAGGCGGCAUCCUGGACCGGCAUUGACGCUGAGGAGCGAAAGCUAGGGGAGCAAACGGG